GGAACUUAGAAGUUCUUGAUGUUCUGUAAAUAUCCAGCAAUGUUUGAACACGAUGUUCAAACAAGCCGCCACUGAGCCAUGGAUGGCGAAUUGGCGGCGGUUGCGUUCACCACCAAACAGUAUAUCAGAACAUCUAGUACUUCUUAGUUU
RNAcentral lists this non-coding RNA (150 nucleotides) under human gut metagenome. The record is from RNAcentral.